UGCCCAUCCCCCCAACCUCCCAGGACACUGAUGUCAGCACAGUAGCAGCUUCCUUGACAAAUAUUUGUGGAGCUGAAUAAAAAAGCAGCACAGAAGAGCAAACCCCUUGAGAGAUGUCGGCCGACUCCCAGGCCUCCAGAACUUAGCUUGAUGGACUUUGACAGACAGGGAUUUGUUUCUUCGUGUUGUUUAGCUCAAACCAGAGCUAAACCUCCUCAUCGUCUCAAAUGACCUGAAAUGGUUUCCCAAGCAACCUGGGCAGACCCUGGGGAGUCCAGAAGGCAUUCAGGGGCCCUGGACCUCUGGGGCUGAAGAUCUGCCUGCCGCUGUCCUGGAGGUCACAGGUUCCAGAAGGGCAGCAGAUGCCUGAAGCCGCAGGGCUGCGGGAAACAUACCUCACUUGCCUGUGGUCCAGUUUGGAUAGUCCCAGCACAGCUUUACAGGAAUAGGCCCCAAACCGAACUUCCAAGGAGGAAGGAUCUGAUCGGCUCAGCUUGGCAACGGUUUGAUAUGCAAACUUACAAAAAAGGAGGCACAGAGGUGGUAUCUCCAACAUGCCAACUGCUUUGUGUUCAUUAUCAGGACUGACACAUAUGGUUGCUCAGAUUGUGCACUGCACAAUCACCAGGUAUGCCUUCUACAGCUUAGGGAAUGAUUCCUUUCAUCAUUCCAUUUAUCUUCAUGAUAAUGCUGCGAGGCAGUCAUUUGGCUCUCAAAUGAGGAAACUGAGGCUCCAAGGGGCUGAAUGAUAUCCCCCAAAAAAGAUGACUGAACUAGGAAUAUGGAGCCUUCUGGACCCCCUGAAGCUCUCGUGUCACCACAUCGGGCUGCAAUGCUGAAUGAGGAAGCGGAGGGAGAGUGGACUGGAAGGAACUUGACCCAGGAUGCUGAGUGCAAAAUUUGCCAUUCAGCUACAAGAAGUGCAGUUGGCAGACAGCCUUCAACUUCAGCAUCUUCAGAGUCUGCCUUGACUUUCAAGCUGAGGCCAUGGACUUCUCAGGAGCUCCUAGCCAAUGGCUGAGAACAACGUAAACACCCUCACAAACACACCCGGAAUAGUGUUUAGUCAAAUGUCUAAGCACUCCAUGGGCCAGUCAAGUUGACACACAAAACUUGCCACCCCAGCUUCCUACAGAAGCCAACUCCCUCAAGAAGAGAUGAAGAUUCGGCUCUAUGUUGGUGGCGUGGCGUUGUGUACCUAGAACAAUGCACAUAUCAACUCAGUUCCUAUUUGUAGGGAAUGUGAAGCUUACUGGGGAUGUUUGUGGGGAUCUUGGCUGCCCAAUGUGGGACCCCUGUUCCCUUUAGGUGUCUAACACAUGUUCUCUUUCUCUUUGAUGGCCAAGGCAUGGCUGGCCAAUGGGAUGCUUCUCUCUCCAAAGGAGCAGGGAGAGCUGGAGAUACCCUCCUUGCAAACAGCAGCUUGAGGAUCCAGCGCCUGGUGCACAGGUCUGCAAAUCGCCUGGGGUGACUCUGAUGAACUUGAUUAGUAUUGGCUGAACUUGGGCCAGGGUACGGGAUGGGUUCAAGCCUGUUCUGUAUGUUUGUAAUUUGGGGACUCAGGUUGAAAGGGUAGUGUCCAUCUGGAGCAAACUCAUGGUGAAGAGCUGGAGUGCAAGAGAUAGGAGUGGAAAUGUGCAAUGCCUCUUCAGACCUUGGCUUGGAACUGGCACAGCAUCACUUCUACCCAUAUUCAACUGAGCAGAACGCAUGACACAGUCAAGUCCAACAUCAGUGGUGUGGGGUAGUCCUGUCUGCUCACAGUGAAUCGUGAUACAGGGAGACAAGGAAGAAUUGUGGACUAAUAAUUUAAUCUAUCACACAGGGGGUGUUUUUUCACAACCUGAUAUCCUGAUUCCAACCCUCUGAGUGGAAUUUUUUUUUUUAAUUUUUUAGAGACAAGGUCUUGCUCUGUCACCCAGGCUGGAGUACAGUAGUGUGAUCAUAGCUCACUGCAGCCUCAAACUCCUGGGCUCAAGUGAUCCUCCUGCUUUAGCCUCCUGAAUACAUGAGACUACAGGCAUGCGCCACCAUGCCCAGCUUAUUUUUAUUUGUAUUUUGUGUAGAGCUGUAGUCUUGCAAUGUUGUCCAGGCUGGUCUUGAGCUCCUGGUCUCAAGUGAUCCACCCGCCUUGGCCUCUCAGGCAUGAGCCCCCGUUCUCAGCUGGAAUAUCUGUAUUUUGAAGAAGCUGCCCUGGUGAUUCUGAUGUGCAUUCUCACGGGGUCUCCCUGGCUAAGCUGGCUUUCCUUCAGAUCUGGGGCUUCUGGUCUCGAGGUCACCUGUGUUUCCGGGCCAAAGAUGGUUGUUAACUUGUUCCUCGGAUUGUUCAGUUUCUCAUUCCUGUGCUUUGACCAAGAGGCCAAGUCCAUCCAUUUAAAGUCAUCUCCAAAGACCGGGCUUGGUUCCGGACAUGGCGGGACUGGCUCAGGCAGGAGGCUGACUCAGCCGUGAGAAACAUUAAUGCCUGCCCAUGGUCAUUCUCUUCCUUCGGAAUGCCAGGCUCCUGGGGAUUAGAUGUAAGGAAACUUAUAGAGGCGUCCCAGGGCCACCACUUAUAAAUCAUGUGACCUUGGGCAAGCUAGUCCAUAAAAUAUGAGACUCGCUAUCUCCAUCCAUAAUGUUAGACUAAGACCUCUCAGGCAGACCCUGAGUUCUGUGCAUUGGACAGACCCUGAAUUCUGUUAGGAGGACAAUCUGCCUUCCUCAAGUAAGAUAAUGUCCCGCAUCCCUCUUCCUUUGGGCGACUUCAUUCUUCCCAUCCAGACUGUGGUUGGGGUGUGGUCACCAAUCAACUCCAUCUGGCCACAGGAUUGGGCAAAAAACUCAAUCAUGUGGACUAAUCAAACUCCCACAGUGAUUGGUCCAGGAAUAGACACAUGACCCAAGUUCCACCAAUCAGAUUCCUUCCCUAGGACUUUUUUCACCUGAGCUGGGGAAGAAUUAUCUUUUCACUCUCAAAGCAAGGUUGUUAGGUUCUAAGACUGAAGCUGCUCUUUAUCUCUUCUCCCAACACCUGGCUUACAUGAGCCCAUAAGUUUCCCUUCUUCUCGGACUAGUUUCAGUUGGGUUCUGACAGUGUACCUUACAAUCAAAAAGUCCUGAAGAAAGCGUUACUUUUUGAUGCCAUUGUAAUAAUGAUAAUGAGAGCCGCUUUAUUAUAUGCCUCCGGUUUGCCAGGUUCUGUGCCAAGAGCUUCCAUAUAUUAUCUCAUGGCUUACCUCGACCUGUAGUUAUUUGUGUGCCUGGUGGCACUCCCCGACUGCACCUAACCUCCUGGAGGUUGAUUUCAUCUCAACAUUGCCCAGGGCACCCCGCUUGGUGCCUGUCCUGCACCUGGUGCAUGGCAGCCUGACAGCCCCUCAGGGGGUCACCUUGGAGGGUCACACAGAGACGUGCAGUCCGUCACCACACGUGUUCCACAGGUCACAUGGAGUUGGCCCUCUGGCCAGAGGUUGGCUGGGGACUGAUCUUCAUGGGGUGGCUACAUAAAAGUGGGAGCCCUCCCCACUCCUGCCUCUCCUGCCGACCCCAGCCUCAGCCCCUUCUUUCCUAAGCAGCCUUUUCUAUUAUUAUUUUAACAGCUGGCUCCAGAAUUUUUUCUGGAUACUGUGUAGAGGGUAUGGGGAAUAAGGAACUUGCUGCUCCUGCUAAGCCACCCGGGGUGAAGGUGAGAUCUCCCUAGGGCUCCAGCUGGCUUGUGGAGGAAGAAGUAGCAUCUAUGCUGGGACUGACAGGUGGGCAGGAGUCAGGAGUUGGGAGAGCAGAGAGGGGAACCGCACAGAGAGGACCCAGGCUCAGGAGGCUGCGUGGGCACCUGAGGAACUGGCCAGAUGGUGGAGCUCAGGGAGGCCUGGGGUGCGAGAUGAGGAGGAGCCUGGACGUCCCAGCACUGGCUUUCAUUAUUCUAGCACAUCUCAGGAUUUUUUAAGAAUAGAAAACCUGGCAUUUAUAUUGGCAACGAAAAAUGCUUGAAAUCUAAAUUAUUCUCAUCUGAAGCUAGAAAUAUCCAUAAUGGGCCAGGUGUGAUGGCUCAUGCCUAUAAUCCCAGCACUUUGGGUGGCCGAGGUGGGUGGAUCACCUGAGGUCAAGAGUUCGAGACCAACCUGGCCAACAUGGUGAAACCCCAUCUCUGCUAAAAUACAAAAAUUAGCCAGGCGUGGUGGCGGGUGCCUGUAAUCCCAGCUACUUGGGAGGCUAAUACAAGAGAAUCUCUUGAACCCAGGAGGCAGAGGUUGCAGUGAGCUGAGAUCGUGCAACCGCACUCCAGCCUGGGUGACAGAGCCAGACUCCAUCUCAAAAAAAGGAAAAAGAAAUACCCAGAAUGUUACAUGUGCACUCAAGCACUGAAUUGAAUGAAGUACUGGUUUUGGUGGUAACUACAGCUUUCCAUUGCUUAAAACCCUUUCAGGCUGGACGUGGUGGCUCAUGCCCAUAAUCCCAAUGCUUUGGGAGGCUGAGGUGAGAGGAUCAUCUGAUCCAGGAGUUCAAGACCAGCUGGGGCAACGUAGCAAGACCCCAUCUCCACAAACUUACAAAAAAUUAGCUAAGUAUGGUGGUGCAUGCCUGUAGUCCCAGUUACUCCAGAGGCUAAGGCAAGAGGGUUGCUUGAGCCUGGGAGGUUGAGGUUGUAGUGAGCUAUGAUCAUGCCACUGAACUCCAGCCUGUGUGACAGAGCGAGGCCCUGUCUCAAUCAAUCAAUCAAUCAAUCAAUCAAUCAAUCCUUUCAAAAUAUCUUAUUGCUGUUUAGUUUCCAUUUUCCAGGUUUUUAAUGAGGCUAAGGAGCUUUUCAAAGGUUCACUCUUCCUGCCUAGCCAUUUGGGCUGUGUAGUUCAAGAGGAUCUGUAGCAUCUUUUUACAAAGAAGAAGGUUAAGGCGUUAGGGGAGGAGCAGGGAGAACAGGAGGAAGGAGCUCCCAGGCCCUGUUUUCAGCCCUUCCUUCCCCUCCUCUUUUCUUUUUUGAGGCCUGCUCCAUUCUCUUAGGGCCUGACCCUGACCUGCCAACCCCAGAUAAGGUGUUGUGACUAGGCCCUCCUUCCCCCAGGGUUCCCCCUGGAGAGACCCAAGGCAAUGGAUGGAGGAGCAUUGGCCCCACCCCAUCUCCUCACCCCACUUAAGGGAACAGCAUCUGAGGACAGGUGGCAGCAGGUAGUGUGGCCCCACCUCACUUCACAUUGCAGGGAGCUCUGUCACUUUGCUCCUUUGUUGCAAAUGCCAUUGGAAAGGCCAGUGCUGUGCUGCCUAGUGAGGUCUUCAAGGUGUUGGCCGGAUGCUUGAAGAAAGUGGAAGCCAUGGAAGGUUGUAUUCAGGAGAGGGGCAUGGCCCCUUCUGAGCAUGUUUCCACUGGUGGGAGGCCAUAGAGAGAAUGAUAAGGAAGGAGAAUGAGGCCACGUGGAUGACAGCUAACCCCUGCUGAGAGCCCAUUCUGAGCCGUGCACUGUAUGCCAUUUACUGGCAAAAGAGCAUGAGUAGGUGGUCAAGGUCGCCCAGCUGACAAGUGACAAAGUCAGAGCCAUCACAUUUCACCUGAGAUUCCUCCCCAGUUGUUUCAGGCAUGUUCGAUUUGUUUCCUAGCAAUAACUUUGCAAGGAUGGUCCUACUGUCCCCAUUCACAGAUGGGAAAACUGAGGGCAAAUGGUAGAGCCAAGUAAUGAAUGUGUUCUGCUUGGUCUUUACUUCUCAUGGAUACUCAAGGAAGGCAGCAGGUCUGGGCAAAGAAGGAAGGUGUUUCUUCACCAGAAGCAAAAUUUGUGUUGGAAAAGGGAUCUUAGAAAAGCCCCAGCCUCGACAUUCCUGAGCUCAGCCUCAGGGCUUUAUACAUACUUUGAUGAACACUUAAUAUGUUGCAAUUUUUCUGUUCUACCACAGGGUCAGCGCAUACAGUUGUAUAGGUUAUGCACUGCACAACUCAUGGAGUUCCAUGGCCUAAACCUGAGGGACCCAUCUUGCAGUCUCUGAGAUGGUGUGGAGUGGCGUCCACAGAUGAGGGCUUUGCUGACAAGUAGCGGGGUUUGAAUCUAGUCUUGGUUACUGGGUCGAGGAGCUUUUUCUAUUCUCCUUGAUCCCAUUUCCUCAUCUGUGAAGUGGAGAUGGUAUCAUCAUCUCUUCUCCCUCGGGGACUGUCAGGAUAGCAGGAGAGAACACACGGCAUAUGGCCCUUUACACAGGGCCUGGUACUAGUGGGGCCUUGGUAGAGUUCAGUUUCUCAUACUUCUGUCUCUCUGAGUGGACUUGAGGGCAGGCAGAGGCCCUGUCUAACUCAUUCCUGCAUCCCCAGCGCCCAGCGCUGUCCUUGCACGUGGGAGGGACUAGGCACCCAUUUGCUAAGGGACCAGAGAAAUCAUGCUGGAGGCAGAGAGGGGAUUUGGGGAACACUGGGGCAGCAGGCCCCAGUCCGGCAUCCCCACCCCACCUUUUCCCUCUUGGAGACAGCCUGGUCUGAGUUAUUUCCCUUCCCGACACUUCCCUGCCUCCAGGGCACAUUUUCUCCAGGUGAGUCCACCCAGGCAGAGGGCGAAGCCAGCAGGCACAGGCUGGAUUCCUGCAGAGGCGCGCAUUUCAUUUGGCCUGCACCAUGGCUUCACAUUUUUAAAAUUAGUUGCCGAUAUUUUACAAUUUGGAGAUUUCACCUAGAAACCUGGAUUUCCAGCUAUUCUUGAAAAAUCAAAAGAUCUAGCAGCCCUGGGCCUGCAGCUGGCAGCUGGUGUGCAGCAGCCACUGUUCCUUUGUGUUGGGUAUAUGCUGCUCAGUUUGCCACCAGAUCCACCUGGUCCAAGUCCCCCUCCCUUAUGACUCCUGCCCUUCCCCUGGUGAACCUGCAACCCCUGGCUCUAUGGAGCGCCCGGGCCAUCCCACUAACCUCACAGGUCUUGGUUUGGCAAAUCAUGACCGUGCCAGGGUCUUUGCCUGUGGAACGAGGAUCUGUGGGGGUGCCUUCCAAAUGUGCCAACCAAUGCUCACGACCAAGCCUUCAGUGUAACGAUCUGCCCACUUUCUCCUCCUCCCCCUGCCUCCGUGAGCCAGCGAAGCUGCUGCCCUGUUUGGGGACACAAACAUACACACGUUAUUAGAACCUCAGAUCAAAGGCGGCGUCCUACAGCCUGCCUCUCAAUGGUCCCUUUGUGCAGGCGGAAGCCUGCAAGAGAGUUAGAAUCCAGGGAGAACAGGAGGGGCUGGAGGGGGGCUCAAAACAAAGAUACUUGUCACCCUGAGAAGUCCGCAGAAAUGAUGUUAAAAGAGGCGCCAGGUGGAGGAUGUACCCCGGCUCGCUGCUGGAAGAUGCAAAUGGAGAAUUCUCAGUUCUGCAGAGGAGAAGAAAACACCCCUGUCCCUUGUGGUUUCAGAGGAAGGGGUGACAGUGGCUGCCCACCCCCUCCGCCAGCAGCAGCCUGCGUCUGCCUUCCUGGCCUCGCCAGGGGUGGAUGUGAUACUGGCAAGGGCUUCUUGGAACGAAAAGGGUUGGUUUGAACAAAGAAGUGCUUUGAGAGUUCAGAUGUGGAGCCAGGAACCCUGCCUGCCAUGGGAUGCAGGGAGAGGGGGUGGCGAGCAGCCCACAGCGACCCCAAGAAGCUGCUCCAACCCCUGGGACUAUGGAGCUCUACAGCUGUAGAGACCACCAGGAAGUGGACUGCAGGCCCCUGGCCUCUCCAUUCAGAUUCUGCAAAGAGAUCCUGAUGGGUUGGGCCAAUGGGUCAGGCAUCCAGUCAGCUCUGGCUAAGGGGUGAAGGAGUCAGGUGUUACCAACGUGGUGGCAGGGGCCACCUUGAAGCUGUGUUCUGUGCCAUGGAAGAAGGAAGAGGAGGAGGAAGCUAAGCUGGAAGGGAAGGCAGGUUCUAGGCUCCUGGAGUCAGUAGUUGGAAUCUCAGAUGGGAAGAAACCUUAAAAGUCAUCUGGUCCAGUAUUUUCCAAAGCAUGUUCCAUGAACUUGUUUUCCAGAAAUGGUUUCCUGGUCUGGUGAGUGGGAGUUCGAUGAGAGUGGCAGUUGUCUAUUUUGUUCACCGAUGUAUCUUAGGUGACUAAAACAAUGGUUGUCACAUGGCUGGCCCUUCAUAUUUGUUUCCAGAUGGAAGACUCUCUUUCUAGUGGUGGAACAUUAGUUUUGCACUGUGUUGGGACAACCUGAUGUAGUGAAAACAAGCCUGGGCAAUGAAAUCAACAGAUUGGAGUUCAGUUCCUAAUUGGGUCAUGGAUGAACUUUGUGACCUUGGGCAAGUGAGUUCACCUCUCUGAGUUGAAUAGGUUCCCUCCUUUCUAGAACAAGUAUGAGUCUGCAUCAGAGAGUGGUUGCGAGGGCUACACAUGAUGGAGGAUGAGGACUGGCACAUCAGAAGUACUGAAUGAAGAAUUGUAACAUAAAAAUGACAACAGUAAUAUAUUUUUGUGGUUUCAGCACUCUUCAAAUGAAACCACCUGGCCAACAGGAUUUUAGUGUACCUGCUUAUAACAUUAGCCUUCGUUUCCACCAAAAAGGGUGUUAAAAAAGGAAGCUUGGAACAUGAAAGUAAGACACUUGGAUGAAGAGAUUUAUGACUCUGGGGGGCUGUGAAUUCCUAAUGUCCUUUUGAGACAUGUAGAUCUUCCAGAGCGAUGCUGCCCAAUGCAGUAGCCACUAGCCAAGUGCAAAUGGUCACUUGCAAUAUGGCUAGUCUUUGAGAUGUGUUUUAAGUGUAAAAUACACACUGAAUUUUAAAGACUUAGCGCAAUACAAAGAAUGUAAAAUAUCUCAUUAUAUCUUGAAAUUAUACUAUUUUGGAUAUAUGGUGUUCCCUUGGUGUCUUUGGGGACUGGUUCCAGGAUCCUAGAGGAUACCCAAAUCCCCAGAUGUCAAGUCCGCUAUAUAAAAUGUCCUGUAGUAUUUGCAUAUAACCUACACACAUCCUUCUGAAUACUUUAAAUCAUCUCUAGAUUCCUUGUA
RNAcentral lists this long non-coding RNA (8911 nucleotides) under Homo sapiens (human). RNAcentral's name for it is "non-protein coding lnc-NKD1-3:1". The record is from RNAcentral. Lineage: Eukaryota; Metazoa; Chordata; Mammalia; Primates; Hominidae.